Molecule: ribosomal RNA, 230 nt
Filed under: uncultured bacterium
Lineage: Bacteria
Description: partial 16S ribosomal RNA
Rfam family: Bacterial small subunit ribosomal RNA
Source: RNAcentral
UAAAGUGGCGCACGGGUGAGUAACACGUGACUAACCUAACCCUUGAGUGGGGGAUAACCUCGGGAAACCGGGGCUAAUACCGCAUAAUAUCGAGAGAUCAAAGGAGCAAUUCGCUUAAGGAGGGGGUCGCGGCUGAUUAGCUAGUUGGUGAGGUAACGGCUCACCAAGGCUAUGAUCAGUAUCCGGCCUGAGAGGGCGCACGGACACACUGGAACUGAAACACGGUCCAG